RNAcentral lists this small RNA (91 nucleotides) under Flavobacterium sp. CECT 9288. RNAcentral describes it as "Flavo-1". It matches the Rfam family "Flavo-1 RNA". Lineage: Bacteria; Pseudomonadati; Bacteroidota; Flavobacteriia; Flavobacteriales; Flavobacteriaceae. The record is from RNAcentral.
CCCUAGCCCCGAUGGAAGUGGAAAUCCUUUAUUUCGUGAGGGUUUUUUACCCGAAUCGUAAUAAAGAUUGAAGCAUACAGCGGGACAACUC